UGGGGGAUAUUGCACAAUGGGCGAAAGCCUGAUGCAGCGACGCCGCGUGGGGGAUGAAGGCUUUCGGGUUGUAAACCUCUUUCGCUAUCGAACAAGGCCCGCUUAGGGUGGGUUGAGGGUAGGUGGAGAAGAAGCGCCGGCUAACUACGUGCCAGCAGCCGCGGUAAUACGUAGGGCGCGAGCGUUGUCCGGAAUUAUUGGGCGUAAAGGGCUUGUAGGCGGCUUGUUGCGCCUGCUGUGAAAACGGGGGGCUUAACUUCGCGCGUGCAGUGGGUUCGGGCCGGCUUGAGUGUGGUAGGGGUGACUGGAAUUCCAGGUGUAGCGGUGGAAUGCGCAGAUAUCUGGAGGAACACCGAUGGCGAAGGCAGGUCACUGGGCCAUUACUGACGCUGAGGAGCGAAAGCAUGGGUAGCGAACAGG
This 420-nucleotide ribosomal RNA is filed under the name bacterium. Its description in RNAcentral is "partial 16S ribosomal RNA". It matches the Rfam family "Bacterial small subunit ribosomal RNA", at positions 355 to 776 of the family's 1533-position model. The record is from RNAcentral.